CAACAGUCAUACAAACAUGACUAAGACAUGACCCCUGCUUUCAAGGUGGAGACUAAGUGUGAAGAGUUGUCUACACCAUGGCAUGGUGCCUGGGAUACGCUUAUCUACACCAGACUGCAGUUCUCCACAGCAGCAUCAGAAAGACAUCCUGCAGCAAAAGCUUGGCCCCUUAUUCACAGAGCUGAAUGCACACCGGAAAAGGAGUCCAGUAAAAGGUAGAGCAGCUUCAGGUCCCAUGGCUACCCCCAUGCAAAGGAGGUGAGGCCACAGAACCGAACUGGGGUCUGUUCGCCUGGCACAGCAAAGUCAAACACUAACAUUAGGAUGGCAGCGAGAGGAAGUGAAGCAUUUAUUUGCAAGCACCAAGCAAAGAGAGUUGGACAGUUGAUGCCUAAGAUCCCACCUGCCCGGUGGCUUGCAGAAUUUCAGGAUAGUCCAGGGAUCACCGAAAGAGAUCACCAAACUUUCUCUAUGAAGAACCAAAUACUACAAACUUCCGUCUUUGCCGGCCACGUGGUCUCUGACUCAACUGCUCAACUUUUCACUAACGUGAAAGUAGCCACGGACCAUAUGCAAAAAAAUGGGAGUGGCUGUGUUGCAAUAAAACUUUACUUGUAGAUGCUGAU
RNAcentral lists this long non-coding RNA (626 nucleotides) under Homo sapiens (human). RNAcentral describes it as "HSALNT0279906". The record is from RNAcentral. Lineage: Eukaryota; Metazoa; Chordata; Mammalia; Primates; Hominidae.